This 254-nucleotide ribosomal RNA is filed under the name uncultured bacterium. RNAcentral describes it as "partial 16S ribosomal RNA". It matches the Rfam family "Bacterial small subunit ribosomal RNA", at positions 524 to 776 of the family's 1533-position model. The record is from RNAcentral.
UACGUAGGGGGCAAGCGUUGUCCGGAUUCAUUGGGCGUAAAGAGCGUGUAGGCGGCCAGGUAGGUCGGUUGUGAAAACUGGAGGCUCAACCUUCAGAGGUCGACCGAAACCAUCUGGCUAGAGUCCGGGAGAGGAGAGUGGAAUUCCGUGGUGUAGCGGUGAAAUGCGCAGAUAUCAGGAAGAACACCCGUGGCGAAAGCGGCUCUCUGGAACGGUACUGACGCUGAGACGCGAAAGCGUGGAGAGCGAACAGG